CAAGAGGUCGUUUUAUAAACAAUUACUGAGGUUAGGGCUCUUUAUAUUGUCUUGGUUUCAUCCUAAAAUGUUUCUAUACUUAGGGUCGCCAAGGAAGCCAGAGUGGAGGCUGUCGGAAGGGUGGGUUUGAAUGAACUUUGGCUGCUCCAUCAAGCAGGCUGAUUACUGAGGAAACAUCAAAAGCUUCACCCGAGUGACUCAUCACCCAGAUCCAACAGAGAUUCCACUCUUAAAAUUCACUGCAUAGUCUCUACAGACAAGAAGCAAAGGUUCUGCACGGCUACAGCCUUUCAGUUAAAAGACAAGGAAUCCAUAUUUUCCUUCAUUUUACUUUUAGACAGCCAGUAUGUUUUAUAGUCUCUCACAUGCUUUUCUUCUCUCAAAGACAUUUUCAAGUUUAAUAAUAUAUUUUUAAAAAGAUAAUUUUCAGGUAAUUCAAUUUUGAAAUCCUAUAGACUUUAAAAUAAAUGCAAGGAAUCAAGAAAAGUCUCA
Molecule: long non-coding RNA, 492 nt
Filed under: Vulpes vulpes (red fox)
Lineage: Eukaryota; Metazoa; Chordata; Mammalia; Carnivora; Canidae
Description: lncRNA (ENSVVUG00000003779.1)
Source: RNAcentral